This 629-nucleotide ribosomal RNA is filed under the name uncultured bacterium. RNAcentral's name for it is "bacterial SSU rRNA". It matches the Rfam family "Bacterial small subunit ribosomal RNA", at positions 338 to 957 of the family's 1533-position model. The record is from RNAcentral.
CCUACGGGAGGCAGCAGUGGGGAAUUUUGGACAAUGGGCGCAAGCCUGAUCCAGCAAUGCCGCGUGCAGGAUGAAGGCCUUCGGGUUGUAAACUGCUUUUGUACGGAACGAAACGGCUCUUUCUAAUAAACAGAGCUAAUGACGGUACCGUAAGAAUAAGCACCGGCUAACUACGUGCCAGCAGCCGCGGUAAUACGUAGGGUGCGAGCGUUAAUCGGAAUUACUGGGCGUAAAGCGUGCGCAGGCGGUUAUAUAAGACAGAUGUGAAAUCCCCGGGCUCAACCUGGGACCUGCAUUUGUGACUGUAUAGCUAGAGUACGGUAGAGGGGGAUGGAAUUCCGCGUGUAGCAGUGAAAUGCGUAGAUAUGCGGAGGAACACCGAUGGCGAAGGCAAUCCCCUGGACCUGUACUGACGCUCAUGCACGAAAGCGUGGGGAGCAAACAGGAUUAGGAUACCCUGGUAGUCCACGCCCUAAACGAUGUCAACUGGUUGUUGGGUCUUACCNCUGACUCAGUAACGAGCUACGCGUGAGUUCGACCGCGUGGGGAGUACGGCCGACGAAGGUUAGAAACGUUAAAGGAGUUGACGGNGUAGGAGACGAGACGACGGACGACGACGAGGGAGGAGG